UACGUAGGGAGCAAGCGUUGUCCGGAAUCAUUGGGCGUAAAGCGCGCGUAGGUGGCCCCAUAAGUCCGCUGUGAAAGUCAAAGGCUCAACCUUUGAAAGCCGGUGGAUACUGUGGGACUAGAGUACGGAAGUGGCGAGUGGAAUUCCUGGUGUAGCGGUGGAAUGCGCAGAUAUCAGGAGGAACACCAAUAGCGAAGGCAGCUCGCUGGGACGUUACUGACACUGAGGCGCGAAAGCGUGGGGAGCGAACAGG
RNAcentral lists this ribosomal RNA (253 nucleotides) under uncultured bacterium. Its description in RNAcentral is "partial 16S ribosomal RNA". It matches the Rfam family "Bacterial small subunit ribosomal RNA", at positions 524 to 776 of the family's 1533-position model. The record is from RNAcentral.